Molecule: ribosomal RNA, 1395 nt
Filed under: Curtobacterium sp. S78
Lineage: Bacteria; Bacillati; Actinomycetota; Actinomycetes; Micrococcales; Microbacteriaceae
Description: 16S ribosomal RNA
Rfam family: Bacterial small subunit ribosomal RNA
Source: RNAcentral
CAUGCAAGUCGACGAUGAUGCCCAGCUUGCUGGGUGGAUUAGUGGCGAACGGGUGAGUAACACGUGAGUAACCUGCCCCUGACUCUGGGAUAAGCGUUGGAAACGACGUCUAAUACUGGAUAUGAUCACUGGCCGCAUGGUCUGGUGGUGGAAAGAUUUUUUGGUUGGGGAUGGACUCGCGGCCUAUCAGCUUGUUGGUGAGGUAAUGGCUCACCAAGGCGACGACGGGUAGCCGGCCUGAGAGGGUGACCGGCCACACUGGGACUGAGACACGGCCCAGACUCCUACGGGAGGCAGCAGUGGGGAAUAUUGCACAAUGGGCGAAAGCCUGAUGCAGCAACGCCGCGUGAGGGAUGACGGCCUUCGGGUUGUAAACCUCUUUUAGUAGGGAAGAAGCGAAAGUGACGGUACCUGCAGAAAAAGCACCGGCUAACUACGUGCCAGCAGCCGCGGUAAUACGUAGGGUGCAAGCGUUGUCCGGAAUUAUUGGGCGUAAAGAGCUCGUAGGCGGUUUGUCGCGUCUGCUGUGAAAUCCCGAGGCUCAACCUCGGGCUUGCAGUGGGUACGGGCAGACUAGAGUGCGGUAGGGGAGAUUGGAAUUCCUGGUGUAGCGGUGGAAUGCGCAGAUAUCAGGAGGAACACCGAUGGCGAAGGCAGAUCUCUGGGCCGUAACUGACGCUGAGGAGCGAAAGCAUGGGGAGCGAACAGGAUUAGAUACCCUGGUAGUCCAUGCCGUAAACGUUGGGCGCUAGAUGUAGGGACCUUUCCACGGUUUCUGUGUCGUAGCUAACGCAUUAAGCGCCCCGCCUGGGGAGUACGGCCGCAAGGCUAAAACUCAAAGGAAUUGACGGGGGCCCGCACAAGCGGCGGAGCAUGCGGAUUAAUUCGAUGCAACGCGAAGAACCUUACCAAGGCUUGACAUACACCGGAAACGGCCAGAGAUGGUCGCCCCCUUGUGGUCGGUGUACAGGUGGUGCAUGGUUGUCGUCAGCUCGUGUCGUGAGAUGUUGGGUUAAGUCCCGCAACGAGCGCAACCCUCGUUCUAUGUUGCCAGCGGGUUAUGCCGGGGACUCAUAGGAGACUGCCGGGGUCAACUCGGAGGAAGGUGGGGAUGACGUCAAAUCAUCAUGCCCCUUAUGUCUUGGGCUUCACGCAUGCUACAAUGGCCGGUACAAAGGGCUGCGAUACCGUAAGGUGGAGCGAAUCCCAAAAAGCCGGUCUCAGUUCGGAUUGAGGUCUGCAACUCGACCUCAUGAAGUCGGAGUCGCUAGUAAUCGCAGAUCAGCAACGCUGCGGUGAAUACGUUCCCGGGCCUUGUACACACCGCCCGUCAAGUCAUGAAAGUCGGUAACACCCGAAGCCGGUGGCCCUAACCCUUGGGAAGGAGCCGUCGAA